UCUGACUCAACAGGAGACUGGGUUAACACUGGACAGUCACGUGGCCAUUAAUGCCAAUCAUGUGCACCUGAAGUUCACCAACCACUUGUCAGGCAAAUGCGUUUCUCUGCAUCACGACAGGGCAGGAACCAGAGCACAAGACCGUCACCUCUGGUUUCCCUGGUGUUAUGCACUGGCUCAGAGAUGCCGGCAGGGAUGCCUGACAGCCAGCUUGGCUUUUGGCUUAUUACAUUUGUUUGUUACUCUCAGACUGAGUGGAAAGAGCAAGAAGCAUAACAUGGGUUUCAAACAUUGUACAGAAGAGGGAAAAUGCAGAGGUAAGACGAGGCUGGGCACUGCCAGGGCCUGCGUGUAUACAUCCACUGGCAGUGUGAGCCCGGGGUGAGUGAGUGUCCUGCCUCCAGAGGCUCUCUGCAUGGUGGCCUAGAAACAACAGGAGAGAUAGUACUUGGGUAGAACUACUUAUUUUUCCCAAAGUACACAAUCUAAAACAAAAGGGGGCUCAUCUUAGGUGAUUCGGUAAAAUUUCCCACCUUCGUUUGUCCAAUUUCAAUCUUGUUGAAGAGAACAAUGUAUUUUAGACAAAGAAUGAGAAUUCAAGCUUUUGGUUGGUUUGUUCUUAAAAAGGGGGAAUUACCAGGAAAAGACCAGUAACACCAGUGCUGGAAACGGGACCUUAGAGCUUAAGCUGAGUGCAUGGCUUGUGGAAGUCAGAAGAAAUGCGGUUACUGUCUUCUUCCAAGAUAAUCUGUCAUCCGAGAUGUCAUGGAGCUGGAUCUGACCCAUUCAUUUAAUAUUUAUCGGUGAUGUCAGCAAUACACACUUCAAGGAAAAUAAAAAAUGGGAAAUAAAAAAUGUCCCAAAAGCCAGAAGUUUGAACGUGCUUCCUCUGUCUUGUGGCAGCAAUUUGAAUUCAUUCUGUAAUAUCUAUUCAGCAAGUGUUUAUUGUACGCCUACUAAGGGCCGGGUACUACAGAUCUUUAAAUUCUGAAUUUCCAGGAUCUUGCCCUCAACUGUAACGGUGACAAAUAACAAAUUCUGAGUAGCCUAUCGAAUCAAUUCUAGGAAAGUUUACCCUCACUCACUUCAGGUUGUAAGAUGCUUUUCAGGAAAGGGCCUGCGACUUAUAGAACUUCUCCUAAAUUUCUUCAAGCUAUUAUAGUCUACUCUAUUAUUCAUAAAUUUAUUUUCUGAAUGGGCUUGAUUUCGCAAUUAUAGAAAUUUUAAAAACUGGAAUUAUGCUACUUCUCCCAUCUUUAUCAAAGAAAGAACAGUUAUUAAAUAACUAAAUGUAAUUUCCACUUCAGGAAAAUAAAUAUUUGUGAAUAAAUCAAUUAACUGGUAUUCCAACGUCCUGCCAGUAAGUUUCUAUGUAUUAGAUCAGUCGAAUUAACAUCAGGGGAUGGCACUAAUAAUUAUCAUUCAUUUCGGGAUCCCUGGGUGGCGCAGCGGUUUGGCGCCUGCCUUUGGCCCAGGGCGCGAUCCUGGAGACCCGGGAUCGAAUCCCACGUCAGGCUCCCGGUGCAUGGAGCCUGCUUCUCCCUCUGCCUGUGUCUCUGCCUCUC
RNAcentral lists this long non-coding RNA (1565 nucleotides) under Canis lupus familiaris (dog). RNAcentral describes it as "lncRNA (ENSCAFG00845025263.1)". The record is from RNAcentral. Lineage: Eukaryota; Metazoa; Chordata; Mammalia; Carnivora; Canidae.